AUCCAAGCGUUGAAGCAUUUUCCCCUCUGGCUGCUGUGGGCUGAGUGCUGGGAAACCUCAUGCAGCUUUUACCUUUCUCUCUCAGGAGGAAAAUUUAAAACAUCUCAAAAACAGCUAUUUCCAAGUAACACUAUUCCAAGUAACAGCUAUUUCCCAGCACACACUCCUUAUAUUUCCUCUGGUUUCAAAUAUGAAAGAGAUCUCAGCUCAGACAAGAAGGAUCUUUGCCAUACAGCCACCAGCUCAUGCGUCCUCCUCUUUAUUCUGAGAGGCUCCAGUUUACAUGAAAAUUACAAGGUAAAGUAUUUCUCCAAGUUUCUAAUAUAACUAAUCACUCCUUUUCUUCAAAAAUAGAGGUCUAUGAUUCCUUUUUGAACAUGCUUUCAAAGUGGAGGUCUUUGGUCAUGAGCUCCUCUUCAACAUUAUCUAGUGCCUGCUGGUGAUGUGCCAGUUCUAUAGGUUCCUACUCUGUCUUGAAAGCUUUGUUAUUGUCUGUGGGCAUGUUCUUGGUGGCUCUAGUUUUCUGCUGCUGAGUCAUAUGUGAUUGGCCAGCAGCAGCAUCUUGGCCCAAAAUCAGAGUAAAUGCUCUGAAGCCCAAAUACAUUGGUGAAAUACCAGGAUGCAGAACUAAUCCAGAAUGCAUCUAAUGAAAAUAGCUUGAUUCAUUGCUGUAGUCUAGAUUUAAAAUGAUGGGUCAGUGAAAAAGAGAUCUUGCCUUGUGAUAGAGCCUGAAAAUAUAAUGCUGAUCCAUUAACCAAUAAGAAUCAUAGGGAGGGCAUUUGGUUCAUUGUGUCUAUGAGGAUACCGGGAUGAGUCCUUCAUUUUACUUUUUUUUAAAAUAAUCCAUUCUCAUGUUGUUGAAGUAAUAUUUUCUGUAUUGUUAAUUGUAAAAAAUAUUGUGCCUAUUAUUUGAUUGUAAUGUUCUCUGAAAGCAUGUUGAGGUUCUAACUCCAGGUAUCUAUGAAUGGGGCUUUAUUCAGAAAUAGGGUCUUUGCAAACACAAUCAAAUUAAGAUUAGGUCGUUAGAGUGGCUCCUAAUCUAUAUAAUUUAUGGCAUUAUAAGAAGGUGAAAAUGCCACUGAAGGCAAGGACACUAAGGGAGAACAUGUGAUUGACAGAGGCAGAGACUAAUGUUGCUGCAAGCAGUGAACACCAAGGACUGAUGGUCACCACCAGAGGCCAGGAAGAACAAGGAGGAUUCUUCCUAGUGUCUUAAGGUACAAGGCUCUACUGACACCUUGAUUUCAGACUUUCAGAAUCCAAAACUAUGAGAAACUCAAUUUCUGUUAUGUAAAGCUACUAGUUUGUGUAUUUUAUUAUAACAGUC
Molecule: long non-coding RNA, 1327 nt
Filed under: Felis catus (domestic cat)
Lineage: Eukaryota; Metazoa; Chordata; Mammalia; Carnivora; Felidae
Description: lncRNA (ENSFCAG00000052162.1)
Source: RNAcentral